UCUGUGCUAAGGNAGCGAAGUCAUUUGUUCUUUUAUUGAGAACUUGUAUGAGUGGAGUUAUGGAGGUUUUUUUAUAAACGGUUUUUUGGCUGAAUUUGAUUUAUCUACGAAAAGUUAGAUUUGUUUUCAAAGACGAGAAGACCCCGAAAUCUUUAUUUUAAAAAAAUGGGUUUUAAUUUUUGUUUGGGGGAAAAGUUAAUUUGUAUUAUUUUCUUUUUUAGUGUGAACUUUGUUAGGUUAAAUGGAUAGAUACUUCGGGGUUAACAGGAUAAUUUUCUUUUGAAGUUCUUAUUUUAGAGGGAGAUUGUUACCUCGCUGUUGGCAUUUGAA
This 330-nucleotide ribosomal RNA is filed under the name Demodex canis (dog follicle mite). RNAcentral describes it as "partial 16S ribosomal RNA". Lineage: Eukaryota; Metazoa; Arthropoda; Arachnida; Trombidiformes; Demodicidae. The record is from RNAcentral.